CGGUGCUCACGCAGAUCUCGAGAGUUGAGGGCUGCAACGUCGAGCACAAGCAAAGAAAAAAAAGAAGGGUGCAGUCAGCGGAACAACGAACCGUAAAGACAGGGCACAUCGGCUCCAUCUAUGCUGCACCUCUGUAAUACUCCGUUUGUAUACCACGAAAGUGUACUGUGAAAAACGAACGAUGGUGACAUCGCCGAAGCUGCUUCUUGGGGGCUUGCACAAGAUCAGCGACCGCAGCGUAUUCUUUACUCCACUUAAGAAGGAUCAUCUCGACUUGACAACCCUUAGCAUCGCUCCCCCGUCGCACCGCGGCGUACUCCAGCGCAACGGUUUGGUGGCAAAAGCGUUCAUUGGCGUGACGUUUUACGACGCGCGCACUUCCGCCGCGCACCCGUCGUCGCUUACAUCACCAGCACGCCACAUGUGCGAAUCCGACGCAACCGAUUCGGCGGAGCACCGCAAACUCUCCGCUGCGAAGCGAGAGGAUCUGUGGCGUGCUGCGUUGGUGUACGGCGGCCUGCUGCACGACAAGUGGGAUGCAUUGGCGACUCCAGAGGAGCUCGCGGCGACGCCGUGGCCAGUGCACACCGAAAUGCAGUACGCCGAACUGAUGGAGGAGUUAAUUGCGCGGAAGGCCUGUACCACGGCAAACACGUCGAGCUUCUGUGUGCCUGUCUUGUCCAUUGACGAGUUCGUUUACAAGCACAAAGGGGUGCGAGUGUGCCUCGGCGUGGCCUGGAUGCCACGCUACUCGCACAACCUGCGAGAGUGGGCGGCAACAUUUGCGCAGUCUGGUCACUGCGUGCCAGAGGCGUCGCUCCUGGCGCUUCUGCAUCACGUGACCACGGGCGCACUCGCGCUGCGCACGGCUACCUGCACAGCGGCCAAAAAGGAUGCGACGCUCUCUUUGUCCGUCACUCUGGAGAAGGUGCUUGUGUACCGAGCUUCGGAGGCGGAAAAAAAGAUCGCGAAGGAGGCCGACCCAGACGAAACGGGGGAAGGGCUAACAUUUGCGUUAGCCACUGGUGCGUUCAGGUGGCGGCGCGCAGAGCCGCAUGUUGACGAGAGCAUUUGGACGAACGUGCCGACACGCUCCCGCAUCAGAGCUCUCACAAAUCACCUGAUCGUCCCCGAGGAGGGGCAGCUGUUGUACUGCACGCCUGAGGAUCGCUCGCCGAGGCUAUACCCGACGCACGGCAGCGCGGCCGCAAAGCAAGAUGUCUGGACUCUUGGCGUCGUCCUCUACCUCCUCGCCUCUGGUGUUGCCGGCACAGACCAUAUCGCCACCACCUCUCCGCCGGACCGUGUCCCUCGGCUUGCACCCUUGCGCGAGUUGACGCCGCUCAACUCAGCGGCGCUCACUCCAGACUCUCUCUGGAAGCGCCUGCGGCGGGAGCUGGAGCGCCGCGGCUACAGCAGCACAAUCGUGACCGUGGUCGCACAGCUCCUCUCGCUUGACCCGCUUACGCGACCGUCGCUGGACACAAUGGACCGCAUGCUGCAGGACCUGCAUCGGCCGACCCCUGUGUGUCGCUUCCCGUUCGCUCUGGGCUCGUACGACCUGCUGCGGAUGCCGAACCCUACUGACAUUCACCUGAACCCCGGUGCACGGCGGUACACCAUGGAGGGAGUGUGCGUCUUGUGCAAAAAGCACCGCGGCAGUACGCCCCUGUGUGGCAAGGAUGGCGAUCACGCCCCGGGCUUUUCAUCGCCGUCGUGGUCUGACGAGGAGCUGCUGCCGCAGCUGCACGGCAUGGACUUGCACUAUAUAACCUUUCUCUACCCCCUUUGCGGGUCCAGCGAUGAGCGUCGGCGGCGCAAGCAAGCGGCACUCGCUUUGCGAAGCUGCCACGACGGCAUCAACGCCAGCAGCAGCAUCGCCCGAGACGCCACACCGCUGCUGGACUGCACGAUGCUGUUUCAGGUGUUCGGCGGCUUCGCCGUAUACGAACGGGUGCCGGAGCUGAACGCGACGGGUCAGGUCUUCCACCGCGUCACCGUGAAGGAGGUGCUAGUGCCGUACCCGAGCCAGGGGCUGCGUCGCUCGGAGUUGCCUCUGGUGAAGCUGACGAUCGAUUUCAGCGGCGGCCUCCCGUGGCCUUCCUGCUGCACGGAAACUCUCCAGAAGAGCGGCCGGGUCUCCCGCAACGUGCCGUUCGGCUUCACGGGGGCUCACCACGACGUGAAGUGUUUUGGCUGGGUGCUACCUGGCGAGCGCUUCAGCCUGCCAAACGGGGGUCAUUGGACGGCGCCGCACGAUGGCUCUUUCGUGUUCUGGUUCCAUUCGGACCUGCGACCAACGGAUCGAGACCGCUACUUUGCCUUGACGAGUAUGCGCGCAGCGACGCUGCCGGCAAAGUUGCCGCGCACCGUGAUGCCCGAUUCGCUCUUUCGGAUGCACGCCGGGGACCAGAGACACGCCAGCAAUCUUCUGCCAAGUCGCAUAGGGAGCGGUAACCGAGCGGAUUCUCGCCUGGGACGGGGCUGCAUAGCCCACCGCCGCUCGUGCCAAAGCGUGACAGACAUCGCCUUGCCAUCAGCGACGCACGAGAUUGUGGAGGCAGACGAGAAGGUGAGGACCCUUGUGACGCAUAGGCCGCUUUCUCUCUCCGCGCCGCGUGUGCAGAACACUCAGGAGGAGUCGCCGGUCCAUGGGCGACGUCGGUGGAGCAGCGCAAAGGACAGGGUGCCGUCUCGCCACUCCUCCGCUUUUCCCGCGGAGGUUGUCGGCGCCCUCGAAGCACCCGAUGAGGCGCGAAAGAGUCCUGGUACCGCGCGUGCGCCGUCGACGCUUCGCUCCGUGGGAGAGACACGGAGCAGUGGCGUAGUCCUCACACCUCAGCUACAUGUGCCGGAUCUUCUUCUUGAUAUGCCGACGCCAGACACGCACGCCAGUGCUGACCAUGAGAGCCCAAAAUCACCGGGCUGGGAGAGGGCCAGCGACCAAGCGCGCCUGUCAGAGCGCAACCCCACCCAGUCACCCGUGGAUGGCAACACCACGGCGAAGCGCACACAAGCCCUGGCCGCUCCUGAGAAGAGCAUCUCUCCCGCCGCGUCGCAGUCCCUCAGUUCCGGGCGGAAGAAGGCCCGCAAGUUACGUGACGCGACGGUCUCGUCAGAGGAGUUUUGUGGUGGUGCAGCGCUGCAGUUUGUGGCGUCCGCACCGGCAAGUGUCGGCGCCGAGCAUCCGAUUGUAAGUACGGUGGUGCCGGCGCAGUCGGUGCUGACCGGGCAAAGCAGCGUCCUUGGAGGCUCACCACGGCUCUUGAAGCUGCGCCCUGUCUCUCAGCAUGGGGCCAAGAAGCAGAGCAUCCAGGCAACCGCGUCGUCGGCCACGUCAAUGUUGCCACCGAUUGUGGACGCCCUGCCUGCGGGGCUCGGCGAACUGCAUGUGUGCGGGCUGUGGUUGCCAAGCGAAGCAGUGGACGCGGCGUUUCGUUCUCUGACCUUCUGCAUCCUCUCCACCGGUGAACAUGGCUACAUGCACCCACCAGUGAAGAUGUCGGCGCGGGUGGCGCAUGCCAUCCGUGCCCCGCCGGGUGCCGAAUUCUUGGCCUUCCUGUCAAACCAGGUGCCGCUGUUUCGUCGUAAUCACCCGCGGCUGGAGAGGGCGGGUGUGUCGCUGAUGCUACCGCACCACGGGUUCACGUGCUACGCUGCGGGCGGCACCCUUUUGGGGGUGCUGGGGCUGCGGUGUAGCACCAAGGGCGGCCCAGACGUGAUGGCUGGCGAGUUUGAGCUCAUGAUGCGCACCAGCGCGGCAUUUCGCGGCAGCAGCGCUGCUUCGUGGACUGUAUAUGCGUCUCACCUCUCGGAGAGCGUAGGGGUUGAAGCGCACGUGAGGCGGGCCGCCGCCAAUGCCGUCAAAGCAAGAAACGACUGCGAGGACGAGGACAGGCGGGCAAGCACUCUGCGUCACGUGCCCUCCUUGCUGCGCCGUGCGUCGGGCAGUCGAAAUAUGUUUGCCAACACCCCAGAAAAUCAGACACUCACCUUUACGAGUGCCCGUCAUCUCGUGGGCGAGUUCACACCAGACGAAAGCGGCGACGUUUUGCGGUCUCGCGAGGGAGAGGGUGAGGCGGCGCUACCAGCGUGCUGGAUCAGCUUUGACGGUGUGUCCACCGCGCUCCUGUUUGCAGACGCACCGCAGUCUGUCUGGGUGCCGUACAGGAUCGGCGGUUAGUUGUACGCAACGAUGGCGCCAGCGCCACGCUCCUCGUCCUUUUCGAUUUUUUUUUGUCUUUCGUUGCCUGUCUGUAUGCUGCCCGCUGAAUCGCGUCCCCCUUCGUCUCCACACCUUUUUUUUUAUUUUUCUGAUGACUUGUCAUGCUGGGGUCACUGCUGGGGUGUCGCAAGCAGUUGUUUGGGGAUGAGGGGCACCGAGGUGGAUCCUCUGAACCUCUUUCUGCGUCUAUGUUGCCUCCAUGUUGUCUCUCGCUUGUUCGUUGCUGUUGUUUGCGCUCACGCAGGCAACCCCUCGUCCGCCCCCGCCCCACCCAAAUCUCCACGCACAUUUAGAAACCACCCCCUCCUGUGCACGUGUUUGCGUGUGUGGCUCGUGUGCUCUCUUGCCCGGUUCGUCCUUGCUUCAUACCGCGCACACGUGUUCUCUUCGAUUGUAGCCCUUCAUGAUUCUCCGCCUCAACUACGCCGACUCCCAUCGAGUUUCGCUCUCUCGCAUGCACCUAAACGCCUUUUUUUUGGUUAUGAACGCAUCCGUUCGCGCCUGCCUGUCGGUGCAUCUGGUGCUCUCUGGCCCGGUGACGGAGCGAGCGGCGGAGAGCACAUCAAGUACAUAGACUCAUAGAACUUUGCCUGCAUGCCGUUCUCGUUAAGAACGACGACUCUCCCCCCACCACCCCCGAUGCCUCUCAUCCGUAUCGCGUCCAUCACAGGAGCCUUUUUGCAUGUCUGUUGCACCCGCUGCUUGCACGCAUUUUUUAGACUCUCCAUUUUUUCGUGUGCUUUUCGCUCGGCGUGUGCGGUGCGAUUCCACUCAAAAGGAGCGCAAAGAAGAGUGCUGCUGCUGUUGCUGCUGCCGCCCUUCUUCUCCUCCUUCACGGGCGCCACCUUUUGCCCCCGGUGUUCUCCUUCCCACUUUCUCCCUUAUGCUUUUUGACCGUCUCGCAAAAAAGUGAUUAUUCCUUUUGGGGGGGCAUCACUCGCCGGUCUGUGUCGCUCUUUCCGCUUACUUCCUUUUUGCCCACCCCCCACAGCGAUGCGCGGGCGGAGGAGGCAACCUGCACGUACAUCACAAUUAGCUUCGGUCGCUCACAACGGCGCCGUGUGUUGCGUGCGCUCGCCCAAACCGACAGAGAAACCGACCUGCAGAGACACAUGCCAGCACUCGCGUGCAGCUUGAACACAAGGGCACACAUACAUGCAUCCGUACGUAAUGGCGGGGCCGUGUGCUGACGCCUGGUUCCCCGAACACGGAACAUACACAGCUUCCCGCCCGUCCUCCUGCGCUUUCUACAUCAUUCUUGUGUUGAGACACGUGCGCAUGUGUAGGUGUUUAUGUGUGUUUUGACUUCCAGUCGCUCUGUGUGCUGGACGUGAGCGUGCACGUGGGACACCGCAUAAGAAGGAUAGAAAAAGCACAGACUCCUCUUGUCUGGACCGUUGUUCAGCUCGUGGUGCAUUCUUUUUUUUUUUUUUGCUUUAUGUUCUCUCUUUUUUUCUUCUGCUCCCCUUCUUUAGCACGGCUGUCCUUGCUACUGUACUCAUCCCUCUGUAGGCCUUCAUCUCCUAUCCCUCCCCCCUGAACCCACCCCCCAAUGCCAGCGCCUCUUUGCCGAAGCAGGCGUUCUCACUUGAUUGUUUCCUCUUCCCCCCCCCACUCUCUCCCGCGCUUCUUUGUGGCCUCGCACACUCUCUCGCUUGGAUCCUCGGUAUG
RNAcentral lists this unclassified non-coding RNA (5896 nucleotides) under Leishmania donovani. RNAcentral's name for it is "gene:LdHU3.27.1010(CDS-product:hypothetical_prote in_conserved)". Lineage: Eukaryota; Euglenozoa; Kinetoplastea; Trypanosomatida; Trypanosomatidae. The record is from RNAcentral.